Molecule: long non-coding RNA, 600 nt
Filed under: Olea europaea subsp. europaea
Lineage: Eukaryota; Viridiplantae; Streptophyta; Magnoliopsida; Lamiales; Oleaceae
Source: RNAcentral
GGAUAAUAGAUACUGGUCCAACAGAUCAUAUGAUCUAUUCACCAAUCUUUUUUACUUCCAUUGAUUCAACCUCAACUACCAACGUACAUUUACCAAAUGGUACUUAUGUUCCAGUUAGCCACAUUAGGAAAGUCCAAGUUUCUGACAACUUAACACUUGAUAAUGUCCUAUGUGUACCCUCAUUUUCAUUCAAUCUUAUAUCGGUUUCCAAACUAACAAAAUUUUCUAAUGUUUCUGUGAUAUUUUUCGCAUCUCACUGUUUUGUACAGGAUCUGUCCACCAUGAAGAUGACUGGUUUAGCUAAGAAAAAGGAGGGCCUAUAUCAACUACUAAUUGUCCAUGAUCAAUCUCCUGCAUAUCACCUUACCACUCCAUCAGUCAAUGCUUCUCAACAUUCCAACCAUAGCUUAUGGCAUUUCAGACUUGGGCAUAUAUCCUAUACAAGAAUGUCUAAAAUUCCGUACAUUACUUUUCAAAUACCUUGUAACAAUUUAGAUAUAUGUGAAAUUUGUCCUCUAGCAAAACAAAAGAAGUUACCGUUCCCUAUCAACUACUCAAACUCGAAUAAAAUUUUUGACUUAGUUCAUUGUGAUAUUUGGG